AACGAACGCUGGCGGCAUGCCUAACACAUGCAAGUCGAACGAGACCUCCGGAUCUAGUUGCGCACGGGUGCGGAACGCGUGGGAACCUGCCUUUAGGCUCGGAAUAACUCAGUGUAAUUUGAGCUAAUGCCGGAUGAUGUCUUCGGACAAAAGAUUUAUCGCCUUUGGAUGGGCACGCGUUGUCUUAGCCGGUUGGUGGGGUAAAGGCCGACCAAGGCGACGAUCCAUAGCUGGUCUGAGAGGAUGCUCAGCCACACUUGGACUGGGACACGGCCCAGACUCCUACGCGAUGCGGCAGUGGGUAAUAUUGGACGAUCGGCGAGGGCCUGAUGCAGCACUGCCGCGUGAGUCAUGAUGGCCUUAGGGUAGUGAAGCUCUUUUACCCGACGUGAUAAUGACGGUAUCGGAAGAAUAAGCUCCGGCUAACUCCGUG
RNAcentral lists this ribosomal RNA (433 nucleotides) under uncultured bacterium. Its description in RNAcentral is "partial 16S ribosomal RNA". It matches the Rfam family "Bacterial small subunit ribosomal RNA", at positions 29 to 507 of the family's 1533-position model. The record is from RNAcentral.